RNAcentral lists this ribosomal RNA (475 nucleotides) under uncultured bacterium. Its description in RNAcentral is "SSU rRNA". It matches the Rfam family "Bacterial small subunit ribosomal RNA", at positions 26 to 518 of the family's 1533-position model. The record is from RNAcentral.
AGGACGAACGCUGGCGGCGUGCUUAACACAUGCAAGUCGAGCGGAAAGGCCCUUCGGGGUACUCGAGCGGCGAACGGGUGAGUAACACGUGAGUAAUCUGCCCCUAGCUCUGGGAUAGCUCCGGGAAAACCGGGAUUAAUACCGGAUACGACCACUUUAGACAUCUGUUGUGGUGGAAAGAAUUUUGGCUAGGGAUGAGCUCGCGGCCUAUCAGCUUGUUGGUGGGGUAAUGGCCUACCAAGGCGACGACGGGUAGCCGGCCUGAGAGGGCGACCGGCCACACUGGGACUGAGACACGGCCCAGACUCCUACGGGAGGCAGCAGUGGGGAAUAUUGCGCAAUGGGCGAAAGCCUGACGCAGCGACGCCGCGUGGGGGAUGAAGGCCGUUCGGGUUGUAACCCCUUUCAGCAGGGACGAAGCGAAAGUGACGGUACCUGCAGAAGAAGCGCCGGCUAACUACGCGCCAGCAGCCGC